This 748-nucleotide ribosomal RNA is filed under the name uncultured bacterium. RNAcentral's name for it is "bacterial SSU rRNA". It matches the Rfam family "Bacterial small subunit ribosomal RNA", at positions 88 to 826 of the family's 1533-position model. The record is from RNAcentral.
AAGUCUAGUGGCGAAAGGGUGCGUAACACGUGGGCAAUCUGCCGAGAAGUGGGGGAUAGCUCGCCGAAAGGCGAAUUAAUACCGCAUGUGGUUAGCGAAGACAUCUUCGCGACACUGAAGCCGGGGCAACCUGGCGCUUCUUGAUGAGCCCGCGCCCUAUCAGCUAGUUGGUGAGGUAACGGCUCACCAAGGCUAUGACGGGUAGCUGGUCUGAGAGGACGACCAGCCACACUGGAACUGAGACACGGUCCAGACACCUACGGGUGGCAGCAGUCGAGAAUUUUUCUCAAUGGGGGAAACCCUGAAGGAGCGACGCCGCGUGGAGGAUGAAGGUCUUCGGAUUGUAAACUCCUGUCAUUCGGGAACAAGGUCUUCACGUUAACUGCGUGAAGGAUUGCUAGUACCGGAAGAGGAAGGGACGGCUAACUCUGUGCCAGCAGCCGCGGUAAUACAGAGGUCCCAAGCGUUGUUCGGAUUCAUUGGGCGUAAAGGGUGCGUAGGCGGCGUCGUAAGUCGGAUGUGAAAUCUCAGGGCUCAACCCUGAAACUGCAUUCGAUACUGCGGUGCUCGAGGACUGGAGAGGAGACUGGAAUUCACGGUGUAGCAGUGAAAUGCGUAGAUAUCGUGAGGAAGACCAAUGGCCGAAAGCAGGUCUCUGGACAGUUCCUGACGCUGAGCACGAAAGCCAGGGAGCAACGGGAAUAGAUACCCCGGUAGUCCUGGCAGUAAACGUGUACGUUGGUAUGGG